This 810-nucleotide ribosomal RNA is filed under the name uncultured bacterium. RNAcentral describes it as "bacterial SSU rRNA". It matches the Rfam family "Bacterial small subunit ribosomal RNA", at positions 8 to 796 of the family's 1533-position model. The record is from RNAcentral.
AGAGUUUGAUCAUGGCUCAGGAUGAACGCUGGCGGCGUGGAUAAGGCAUGCAAGUCGAACGGACCUUGUUCUUCUGAUCGAUAAAGUAGAGUGGAGUAGCAAUACAAUACAAAGCAAUAUUUUGAAGAAGGACGCUGGUUAGUGGCAGACGAGGUAGUAAUACAUAGGUACGUACCCCCGAGUCGUGAAUAACGCACCGAAAGGUGUGCUAAUACACGAUAGUCUCUCCGGAGUAAAGUUUUUCGCUCGGGGAACGGCCUGUGAGAUAUCAGCUAGUUGGUACGGUAAUGGCGUACCAAGGCUAUGACGUCUAGGGGAGGUGAGAGCCUGACCCCCACCGAUGGGACUGAGACACGGCCCAUACACCUACGGGUGGCUGCAGUCAAGAACCUUCCACAAUGGACGAAAGUCUGAUGGAGCGACGCCGCGUGAUUGAUGAAGUGGUUCGCCACGUAAAGAUCUUUUAUGAGGGAAGAAGUAUAUUGACGGUACCUCAUGAAUAAGGGGCUCCUAACUCUGUGCCAGCAGGAGCGGUAAUACAGAGGCCCCGAGCGUUAUCCGGAAUUAUUGGGCGUAAAGGGUGUGUAGGUGGCAUUGUUAGUCGUUUGUGAAAGCCCGGGGCUUAACCUCGGGUCCGCGAACGAAACGGCAAAGCUUGAGUAUGUGAGAGGUAAGCGGAACUCAUGGUGUAGGGGUGAAAUCCGUUGAUAUCAUGGGGAACACCAAAAGCGAAGGCAGCUUACUGGCGCAUUACUGACACUGAAACACGAAAGCGUGGGUAGCGAAUGGGAUUAGAUACCCUAGUAGUCC